UCUAUAUAUAUAUAUAUAUAUAUAUAUAUGGGUAAUAUAUGAUUGUUAUUAUUUAAUUGUAAGAGAUGAGCUGCCAUUGAUAUCAAGUUAAGAUAGAUUUUAAUGGAAAUCAUUUCAUUUCUAUGUAUAUAUAUGAGUGUGCUAUUAUUUAAUUGCAGAGUAGAGAGAGAAACAAUAGAAAUAAGGGGAGAGAAAAAAUAAUGGCAUCUUUGGUAAAUUUAAAGAUGUAAAAGGGUAUUUUCGUCUUAAAAAUUGACUUGUUCUCCACAGGGGCACACGGCUCUCAUAGUCUGUUUUUUUGGACGGAAAUGUUAACUGUGCGUUUUAGUCUACAAACCUUAUGGGGAUUAUGUGAUGAUUUCAAAAUGUCAGGAGUGAUCUGUACCUGGCUCAAACCAUAGGGGGUAGUUAUGGUGCCGACUAAUGUCUUGAACAAUUCUUCUCAUUGCCAUUUUUGGUUUGUUCUAAUUUUUGCUUUGAUCACAUUAGAGGCUGCCAUCAUUUAGUUUUAUUUUCUUGUAAAAUUUUACUUUCUGUUCAUUAUGGUUUGGGAAUUGAGAGCUUUGAUGAGUAUGCCAAUUUUUUUAUUUUAUUUAUUUAUUUUCAAAUUGAGUUUUAGCGACGAAAGUAUGUUGUAAAGAACAUAAUUUGAAUUUUAGUAACCAAAUAUAUUUGUUGUUGAAAAUGUCA
This is a non-coding RNA of Camellia sinensis, 690 nucleotides long. The record is from RefSeq and is a predicted model, not a curated record. NCBI's taxonomy places the organism in Eukaryota, Viridiplantae, Streptophyta, Magnoliopsida, Ericales, Theaceae.